GAUGAACGCUAGCUACAGGCUUAACACAUGCAAGUCGAGGGGAAACGACAUCGAAAGCUUGCUUUGAUGGGCGUCGACCGGCGCACGGGUGAGUAACGCGUAUCCAACCUGCCCGUCACUUGGGGAUAACCUUGCGAAAGUAAGACUAAUACCCAAUGAUAUCCCACGAAGGCAUCCGAAUGGGAUUAAAGAUUUAUCGGUGAUGGAUGGGGAUGCGUCUGAUUAGCUUGUUGGCGGGGUAACGGCCCACCAAGGCUACGAUCAGUAGGGGUUCUGAGAGGAAGGUCCCCCACAUUGGAACUGAGACACGGUCCAAACUCCUACGGGAGGCAGCAGUGAGGAAUAUUGGUCAAUGGGCGCAAGCCUGAACCAGCCAAGUAGCGUGAGGGAAGACUGCCCUACGGGUUGUAAACCUCUUUUGUUUGGGAAUAAAGUGCGGGACGUGUCCCGCAUUGCAUGUACCAUUUGAAUAAGGACCGGCUAAUUCCGUG
RNAcentral lists this ribosomal RNA (491 nucleotides) under uncultured bacterium. RNAcentral describes it as "bacterial SSU rRNA". It matches the Rfam family "Bacterial small subunit ribosomal RNA", at positions 28 to 507 of the family's 1533-position model. The record is from RNAcentral.